Molecule: ribosomal RNA, 756 nt
Filed under: uncultured bacterium
Lineage: Bacteria
Description: bacterial SSU rRNA
Rfam family: Bacterial small subunit ribosomal RNA
Source: RNAcentral
UGAGGUGCGAAAGCGUGGGGAGCAAACGGGAUUAGAUACCCCGGUAGUCCACGCCGUAAACGAUGUCUACUAGCCGUUGGAGGACUUGAUCCUUUAGUGGCGCAGCUAACGCGAUAAGUAGACCGCCUGGGGAGUACGGUCGCAAGAUUAAAACUCAAAUGAAUUGACGGGGGCCCGCACAAGCGGUGGAGCAUGUGGUUUAAUUCGAAGCAACGCGAAGAACCUUACCUACUCUUGACAUCCAGUGAACUUUUGAGAGAUCAAUUGGUGCCUUCGGGAACACUGAGACAGGUGCUGCAUGGCUGUCGUCAGCUCGUGUUGUGAAAUGUUGGGUUAAGUCCCGUAACGAGCGCAACCCUUGUCCUUAGUUACCAUCAUUAAGUUGGGGACUCUAAGGAGACUGCCGGUGACAAACCGGAGGAAGGCGGGGACGACGUCAAGUCAUCAUGGCCCUUACGAGUAGGGCUACACACGUGCUACAAUGGCAUGUACAAAGGGUUGCCAAGCCGCGAGGUGGAGCUAAUCCCAUAAAGCAUGUCGUAGUCCGGAUUGGAGUCUGCAACUCGACUCCAUGAAGUCGGAAUCGCUAGUAAUCGUGAAUCAGAAUGUCACGGUGAAUACGUUCCCGGGCCUUGUACACACCGCCCGUCACACCAUGGGAGUGGGUUGCUCCAGAAGUAGAUAGCUUAACCUUCGGGAGGGCGUUUACCACGGAGUGAUUCAUGACUGGGGUGAAGUCGUAACAAGGUAGCCGUA